AAAAUACUCCCUCUGUCUAAAAAUACUUGUCAGCGAAAUGGAUGUAUCUAGACAUAUUUUAGUUCUUAGAUACAUUUAUUUUUAUUCAUUUAUGCGACAAGUACUUCCAGACGGAUGUAGUAGUUG
Triticum aestivum (bread wheat) is the source of this 126-nucleotide non-coding RNA. NCBI's taxonomy places the organism in Eukaryota, Viridiplantae, Streptophyta, Magnoliopsida, Poales, Poaceae. The record is from Rfam.